Molecule: long non-coding RNA, 439 nt
Organism: Esox lucius (northern pike)
Lineage: Eukaryota; Metazoa; Chordata; Actinopteri; Esociformes; Esocidae
Source: Ensembl
GUCAUCCAGAGUCCACUGGGUGUAAUGGAGGUCAUACUGAAUCCACUGGGUGUAAUGGAGGUUGUCCUGAGAACGCUGAGUCCACUGCAGGGCUCGAUAAUAACGAUGGCCUGAUGGCCUCGGGUGUUUCAUAAUCUAGUGCAGACACGAAUAACGGUACUUUCCCAUUAUAUCAAACUCAUUUAAAAAAAAUUCAUAAUUGCGCCAAAAUGUGAUUUUUCUUCUUCAUUCUUUGGGCCUGGGAAUUGAAAUGGGGAAAACUGUGCAAUAGGGAGCUCGGUAUAAGCAAGAACACCACCGUGGACUGGAACAACUAGGCUACCUAAGGCAAGUGUGCAUGGAGGCUGUUAUGGCGAGGAAUCAAGGACAAUUCAGAGGGGAGGGAAUGAUCGUUGAAACUGAUGAGUCGCUCUUCACCAAACCAGGAACAGUGCCGGCC